UAAUAAAUUUAUGUUAUUGGAAAUAAGUGA
Molecule: non-coding RNA, 30 nt
Filed under: Rattus norvegicus (Norway rat)
Lineage: Eukaryota; Metazoa; Chordata; Mammalia; Rodentia; Muridae
Source: RNAcentral